CCUGAUGGAGGGGGAUAACUACUGGAAACGGUAGCUAAUACCGCAUAACGUCGCAAGACCAAAGAGGGGGACCUUCGGGCCUCUUGCCAUCGGAUGUGCCCAGAUGGGAUUAGCUUGUUGGUGGGGUAACGGCUCACCAAGGCGACGAUCCCUAGCUGGUCUGAGAGGAUGACCAGCCACACUGGAACUGAGACACGGUCCAGACUCCUACGGGAGGCAGCAGUGGGGAAUAUUGCACAAUGGGCGCAAGCCUG
Molecule: ribosomal RNA, 254 nt
Filed under: Escherichia coli
Lineage: Bacteria; Pseudomonadati; Pseudomonadota; Gammaproteobacteria; Enterobacterales; Enterobacteriaceae
Description: partial 16S ribosomal RNA
Rfam family: Bacterial small subunit ribosomal RNA
Source: RNAcentral